Molecule: long non-coding RNA, 1972 nt
Organism: Salvia miltiorrhiza (redroot sage)
Lineage: Eukaryota; Viridiplantae; Streptophyta; Magnoliopsida; Lamiales; Lamiaceae
Exons: 7
Source: RefSeq, a predicted model, not a curated record
GCAGUGAUCCCAAAUUACAUCUGAAACAUUAUGCAUUUCUUUUACAUAUUAUUUUUUGAUCUAAAAUUAUUAUUAAUUUCUGAAAUUAAAAAGAUAAUCUCUAAACUAAUAAACUAUUAAUUGAUCGUUAUAUAUAUCAAUUUCCUUUUAGGAAAGGGCUACCGUGAGAGCAACCGUAGAUCUUAAUGAUUUAAGGGCUGAAAUGAUUCUUAUCUAUCAAUUCUAUAAAGCAAUUCAUAUUGCAGCCUCCAUAGUGAUUCUCUCUCCUACAUGGCACUCCCACAAUCCUUUAUUUCAUAUUAUCUCAAAUGCUUUUUCCUCACGCCUAGCUUCAACCUUCACAUCUUUUUUCCCACAAAUUUUACACAGCCACGCUUCAGCCGUUACAUCUCUCAAAGCUUCUCUCCCAAUAUAAGUUUCCAUCAAUCUUGCCACAAAUCUCAAACAAUCCGCUGUGUAAUUGAGAGAUUUAUAAACAACCCGCUGUGUAAUUGAGAGAUUUAUUCUCUGUCGCGACUUCUCAAACAAUCGAUGUCGAAUCUUCCCACAAAUCUCAAACAUCCUGCUCUGUAAUUGGGAGAUUCAGUCUCUCUCUGUCAAUUUCCAUGGCACAAAUUAGGGAGGUGCUUCAUCCAUGGCUGCACCCCACGCUACAGAUCCAUGAUUCAAGGCUAUUCCUCUACAAGUGGGCUUUAGAAAUUUCAGAGAGAAGGAAAAGUUGCAGGUCAUUCUUCGUCCUUGGAGCAAUAUACGGUACUACUGUUUUUCGUCUGGGGAUUCUGUUGUUGCAAGGUUCCUUCAAUGAGCUGUUUUGAGGAGAGGGCUAUAUUCUUAUCACUUUGCAGUGAAAAAAUCGCUCCCUCCAAGCUGCUGCUGAGGAACAUAGAAAGGCUGGUGAAAAAGUAAUGAGGUUGGCAGACGAACAGAAGAAACAAAAGGAGGAACUCCAUAAGAAAAUCAUUAUGCUGGAGAAACAAUUGGAUUCAAAACAAGCAGUACAACUUGAAAUUGAGCAGUUGAGAGGUAAAGUAAAUUUUAUGAAGCACAUGGGAGAUGAAGGUGAUCAAGAAGUGUUAAAGCAAGUUGAGUUGCUGAUAAAAGCCCUAAGGGAGAAGGAAUGAGACAUUGAUGGUCUGGAAGCAUUAAACCAAAGUUUAGUUGUGCAGGAGCGCAAGAGAAAUGGUGAGCUACAAGAUGCUCAGAAAGAUAUGGUUAAUGUAUUCUGAAACUUAUGAUUGAAGUUGUUGAGGAACCAUCGGAAAUGAGAGAAUCUGCAUCGAAGCUCUUCUUUGGUUGUCUAUUGUUCAGGUGCUUGACAAUUUGGAACUUUAUGUAUGUAUAUAUGAAGAGUUCCUGGUUGUUCCAGUACUGCCUCCUAAAGUAGCAUAUCUCCAAAGUGAUUGUAGUCCAUGACACUCAGAGGAUCUUUGAUGCAUGUGCGUUCACCAUAAAAUCUUUGAGUAAGCCGGAAAGCUUGGAUGCGGCAUGACUUGUAGUACCGGCGCAAGCUGUGCACGUAUAGGGCAUCCUCAUUGCCAAGGAAUUCACAAUUUUCCACGACAGAGAGAUCGUUGUCUGACCAGAAAGCUAUUUCUUGCUGAGCUUAAGGCUUGCUGUGUUCUGGAUGGUGAGACCAUUGGCCAUAAAUCGGCGGGAUACAACAGCUGUAGAAGGUGUUAGAUGAUAAAGAACUUGAUACUCAGUAGAAAAUCAACUCUCCUACACAACCUUAGUACUAAUCUGUAUACAAUUGUUAUAGUACAGAGAUUUAUAUCUCAUGAAGACAAGUCCAGAAAAUAGAGAGCCAUACUUGCAAACAUUAGAAAAUGACUUUUCUGGUAAAAGGGCUUGCCAAUAUACAACACACAAUGGUAAAAAGGCUUGCCAAUUCUGAUCGAGUUAUUGUAAGUUCAAAUUGACGUGAAAAAACUUCUAAUUAUAAGCUGUGUUUAUGAGAUGAUUUUUUUAGUUA